GACGAACGCUGGCGGCGUGCCUAAUACAUGCAAGUAGAACGCUGAAGAGAGGAGCUUACUCUUCUUGGAUGAGUUGCGCACGGGUGAGUAACGCGUAGGUAACCUGCCUUGUAGCGGGGGAUAACUAUUGGAAACGAUAGCUAAUACCGCAUAACAAUGGAUGACACAUGUCAUUUAUUUGAAAGGGGCAAUUGCUCCACUACAAGAUGGACCUGCGUUGUAUUAGCUAGUAGGUGAGGUAAUGGCUCACCUAGGCGACGAUACAUAGCCGACCUGAGAGGGUGAUCGGCCACACUGGGACUGAGACACGGCCCAGACUCCUACGGGAGGCAGCAGUAGGGAAUCUUCGGCAAUGGGGGCAACCCUGACCGAGCAACGCCGCGUGAGUGAAGAAGGUUUUCGGAUCGUAAAGCUCUGUUGUAAGUCAAGAACGGGUGUGAGAGUGGAAAGUUCACACUGUGACGGUAGCUUACCAGAAAGGGACGGCUAACUACGUG
RNAcentral lists this ribosomal RNA (497 nucleotides) under uncultured bacterium. Its description in RNAcentral is "partial 16S ribosomal RNA". It matches the Rfam family "Bacterial small subunit ribosomal RNA", at positions 28 to 507 of the family's 1533-position model. The record is from RNAcentral.